RNAcentral lists this ribosomal RNA (460 nucleotides) under uncultured bacterium. RNAcentral's name for it is "partial 16S ribosomal RNA". It matches the Rfam family "Bacterial small subunit ribosomal RNA", at positions 338 to 795 of the family's 1533-position model. The record is from RNAcentral.
CCUACGUGAGGCAGCAGUGAGGAAUAUUGGUCAAUGGGCGCUAGCCUGAACCAGCCAAGUAGCGUGAAGGAUGACUGCCCUACGGGUUGUAAACUUCUUUUGUAUGGGAAUAGAGUGUACCACGAAUGCCUUUUUGGAUUUACUUUCUCACUAAGCAUCGGCUAACUCCGUUCCAGCAGCCGAGGUAAUACGGAGGGUCCGAGCGUUAUCCGGAUUUCUUGGGUGUAAGGGGAACGUAGAUGGGGCGUUAAGUCAGUUGUGAAAGUAUGCGGCUCAACCGUAAAAUUGCAAUUGAUACUGGCAGCCUUGAGUACAGUAGAGGUAGGCGGAAUUCGUGGUGUAGCGGUGAAAUGCUUAGAUAUCACGAAGAACUCCGAUUGCGAAGGCAGCCUACUGAACUGCGACUGACGCUGAUGCGCGAAAGUGUGGGUAUCAAACAGGAUUAGAUACCCGAGUAGUC